Molecule: long non-coding RNA, 418 nt
Organism: Cebus imitator (Panamanian white-faced capuchin)
Lineage: Eukaryota; Metazoa; Chordata; Mammalia; Primates; Cebidae
Exons: 3
Source: RefSeq, a predicted model, not a curated record
CCUAUUAAUGAGCUGCCUUCCCUGAUGUCAGGACUGAAACUUGAGAAACAAGUUUCUCUAAAAUCCCUGGAUCAUCUUAUGUUCUGGCAGUUUCUACCUGCUGUUAAUGAAGGACAAGUCAUCUCUUUCCAACUAGAUGAGUUUGACUCAUUUCAUCGACAACUAUUAUUCUGAGGCAAAAUCAGAGGAAAAGGAGAGGGAGUCCUUGAGAGGAAGAGAAUGUGCCAGGGAGCACAGAUUUCUUUAGCCCCAACAUGCAAAGGGAGAAUUUGAGCAAAAAGACUUCAAGCAUCUUGCAGAGGUGAUAGGCCUUUACACAAGACUUUAAACUCCUGCGGAUGUGGACUUGAACCAGCAUGAUCUAAUUAUUCUGGCCAUUGACUCCUCAUCAGUCUACAUGGUAGCCAUAAAUCCUGGA